This 404-nucleotide ribosomal RNA is filed under the name uncultured Desulfobulbus sp. Its description in RNAcentral is "bacterial SSU rRNA". It matches the Rfam family "Bacterial small subunit ribosomal RNA", at positions 983 to 1382 of the family's 1533-position model. Lineage: Bacteria; Pseudomonadati; Thermodesulfobacteriota; Desulfobulbia; Desulfobulbales; Desulfobulbaceae. The record is from RNAcentral.
GACAUCCCGGAGACCCUUAGGAAACUAGGGGUGCUUCCAUCUGGAAGAAUCUGGAGACAGGUGCUGCAUGGCUGUCGUCAGCUCGUGUCGUGAGAUGUUGGGUUAAGUCCCGCAACGAGCGCAACCCUUGCCUUUAGUUGCCAGCAGUUCGGCUGGGCACUCUAAAGGGACUGCCGGUGUUAAACCGGAGGAAGGUGGGGAUGACGUCAAGUCCUCAUGGCCUUUAUGACCAGGGCUACACACGUACUACAAUGGCCGAUACAAAGGGCAGCGACACUGCGAGGUGAAGCCAAUCCCGUAAAAUCGGUCUCAGUCCGGAUUGGAGUCUGCAACUCGACUCCAUGAAGUUGGAAUCGCUAGUAAUCGUGGAUCAGCAUGCCACGGUGAAUACGUUCCCGGGCCUU